Long non-coding RNA from Manis pentadactyla (Chinese pangolin), 3583 nucleotides. RefSeq lists it as uncharacterized. Lineage: Eukaryota; Metazoa; Chordata; Mammalia; Pholidota; Manidae. The record is from RefSeq and is a predicted model, not a curated record. The transcript is spliced from 3 exons.
AGUCUGAAGGCAGCUGAGUCCACGAGCGCAGGAACCGCGCGGCCGAGGCUUCGCCUUCCGGGUCCAUAACCGCGCGGGAAGCCCAGACGCCAGGUCCUGAGGCAGCGUGGCGUGACGUCACGGCGCUGCGUCUUCCCGCGUCAUCUCCGCGUCCUGUCUCCACGCGGCCUUCGUCUCGCGGCGUGGCGAGGGUUCUGCUGCGGUGGCCGUGUAACCAAGGCCGAGGUAGUUCACUUCGCUGGAGGAUGAGUCCUGGCAGGUCAUCCCCUUGCCCCUGCUGAGCAUAAGCCACCUGCCCGGCACAUGAGGUCGUCCUGAACACGCAGUCCCAGGGUGACCUGCCAGCUGACUGCCGACACAUAAACGACCGCAGCUGAGAUCAGCAGAACCCAGCAGACUGGCUGACCCACAGACUUCCUGAUACGAUUGUGUCUUGGAGGCACUGAGGAAUGGAGCCAGCAGACGAGUACAGAGCAGCCAGCAAAGCUUUUAAUAAGGAGUGAAAAGAAGAAGGGGUUCUGCAGCUUCUUCAAGGGAGGAAGUUCCACCCCAUGGACCUAAGAGACAACUGAACUGGGAAUGAUGCCGUCACAGCUCACUCCUGCCAGCUGAAGGUUUGCUGCUUCACUUGCAUGGGGAAUACCAGUCAGAGCUGAGGUCUAAGUCUAAGUAUAGCUUUGAAUGGCUGAGUAGGCUUGGAAGCCUUUUGAAACUUACAGGGCCCUGAAACUCACCAGGGCCUUGAAGGCUGUCUGCUGAAGCCCCACCAUCACCUGCCUCGGUGCCCCUCGGAAGAGGUAACCCUAACUACCCUUAGGAACAAGGGUGAUGGCCGGGUUCACUGUCUGAGGGGCCUAUCCCAUGGGCCGUGACAGACUGUCACACUGGGUUCCAUUUGCAUCACCAUUUGUAGCUUGAUGCUUUCGAGGCAGGAAGAAACAAAUCUUGUUAGUAGAUUUAGGAUACAGGGGCCAAAGAUUAUGAGAAGGAUAAUUAUAAUGAGGGGUCCUAAAAAUGGUACAACUCACAGGAUCCACUUCAUUAGAUUGGACGAGGGCUCCCAAGAGCCUUCGGUCUCACAGCAUAGUUUGUCUGCCUGAUCUUGUCGUUUUUUAUCUCAUUGAUGCCAGAUUGAUUGAUGUAGAAACAACAUUCUUGGAGAAAAUGGCAAAGACCUCCUCUCUCUGCUGUGAGGAGGUCCAGACCAUGCCUGUUUGGGGGAUGACUCCCACCAGGUGGUCAGUCUGGUUCUGAAGCAUUGAGAGGUCUUAAGUGUCUGUAAGCUCUUGAGAGAAUCUUUGGAAGAACAGAGCAGAUGAUGUGGUUAUUUUUGCAACUCUGCAACUCUGGUGCCUACGGCUGUGGAGACACUGUGGCUGGAGGUGGCUGUCACCUAUGAAGAGACUUCAGGUCCCCUAUGGGCUCACAGGAAUAAUGGGGCAGGGAGGAGUCCUCCUCACUCAGAGGGGGGCUCGUUUUUUCAGACACCCAGGGCUUCAGUCAGGGGUAAGACUCAUGUCCUGUUACUUUUGCUGCAGUGGGAGUGGAGGGUUAUUUUAUGUGGUCCUUCCCUGACCAGGGCGAGAGAAAGACUGGUAGAGGGCACUGCGUUAACUAAGUCUGGCUGGAAGAGAGGCGCCCCGGCCAGUUCCUGAAGGGUUUGUAGGAAUCGGGCCAGGGAGGUGACUCGCCUUACUCGGGCAGCUGUCUCCGUGUCGAGGAGGAAGUCCUUGGUCUGGGAAGGCCGGAUGUACAGCAGCUGAAAGGGACUGAGGCCCGAUUGCUGAGCGGUGUUUCUGGCCACUCGUGGGAAGGAGGGCAACCCAGGGGAGACUGCCCCCUGGAGUGAGCUGCUUCAGGAGUUGCUCCGGGACCCCAUCUGCUCUCAGCACCUUGCCCAAGGACUGGGCUCUCCAGGAGCAGUGGAGGUGGCACUGUAUUCCCGGAGCUGAGGACACGCCCUGAGCUACUGCGGCUUUGCAGGCGGCUCGUUACCACGCUGCAGGCUCUUGGGCAGUCCCAGCUGGGGAAUAGUGUUCAGCUUCCAUGUGUUGGUAGGCUUUUUGUUUUCUUUGUAUAACUUCUUUCUAGUUUCAUACCAUGGUGGCCCAAGAAGCUGCUUGAUACCAUUUUGAUCUUUUUGAGUCCUAGUACGUGAUCUGUUCUGGAGAAUGUUCUACGUACACUUGAGAAAACAUGUGCCUCCUGCUGCUUUUUUGUGGCAUGUUUUGUAGACACGUUAGGUCCGUCUUAUCUAAUGUGUUCUUCAGUGCCUCUGUUUAUUUUCUGUCUCGUUGAUCUAUUGAUGUGAGUGGUGUGUUAAAGUCUCCUAAAAUGAAUGUGUCACGAUCUAUUAUUUCCCCCUUUAGUUCUGCACUAUUUGUUUAACAUAUUUAGGUGCUCCUAUGUUGGGUGUAUAUAUUUUUUAUCAUGGUUAUAUCCUCUUGUUCAACUGACCUGUUUAUCAUUAUGUAAUGUCCUCCUUUGUCUCGUUACUGUCUUUUUGUUCUGAAAUCUAUUUUGUCUGAUACAAGUACAAAACUCCUGCUUUUUUCUAUUAUUUGCACAGCUUAUCUUUUUCCAUCCCUUCAUUUUUAGUCUGUGUAUGUCUUUGGGUCUGAAAUGCGUCAUCUCCUGUAGGCAGCAUACAGAUGGGCCUUGCCUUGUCUUUCUAUCCAUUCUGUAACUCUGUGUCUCCUGAUUGGUCCAUUUAGGGUGAUUAUCGAUAGACAUGUACUUAUUGCCAUUUUAUUACUUGUUUUCUGGCAGUUUGUCAGUCUGUUCCUUUAUUCCUCUCUUACACUCUUUGCUUGUUACUGAUGGUGCUCUUUAGUGUUGUAAUGGGAUUUUUCCUUUUACUGAUAUAUUUUUUAGUGGGUGUAUUUAUUGUAGGCUUCAAAGGUUUGAGGACAGCUUUGCUAUAUAUAAUAAUGAUGUAUCUUAAAUUGCUGAUUAUUCAAACACAAUCUGAAGGUACAUUUUCCCCCAUCCUUCCUCUUUCUCCACAUUUUUUGUAUUAGAUGUCAUAAUCUACACUUUUUGUGUAUCUCUUGGCUGACUUUUGUGUAUAGUUGAUUUUACUUGUUUUUUGUUUUGUUUGAAUUUCAUACUUGCUUGCUACUUAGUUGGUUUACUAUCUUUACUAUGGGUUUCUUUUCAAUGGUGAAAGCUGCUUAGACUUAGGGGCAUUUGCACCAACAGCAGUUUCUUUAAUAUCUCCUGUAAGGCUGGCUUAGUGACAGUGAAUUCCUUCGCCUCGUGUUUAUCUGGAAGCUGAUACCUGCUCCAAAUGUAAACGGUACUCACACUGGGUGGAGGAUUCUUGGUCGGCGGGCCUUGUGUUUGGUGCCUUGGCUACAUCGUGCAGGGGCCUGUGGCGUUUCUGCUGGUAGCCUGAGGGGAUUUCUUUUAUAAGUAAUCUUUUUUGUCUGGCUCCUUUCAGCACUCUCUCCUUAUCCUUGAUCUUUGACAUUUUAAUUAUCAUAUGUCUCGGUGUUCUCUUCUUGGGGUUCCUUUUGUUAGGGCUCUGUGGGCCUCUAUGACCUGAGUGUGUAUUUCCUUCCCCAGAUUGUGGAAGUCUUCA